GAUGACUUUAAUGUCCAUGGGGUUCAUUUCCUGACUCUGUAUGACUCGGUGGAAGAUUUCCUUGACAAAGCAAUGGGUGUCAUGAGAAGGUCGUGUCCCGAAUUGUUUGACAUGGAUCUUGAUGAUCUUGACUCCGAGUUGGAGGUACUUGAAGAGGACGAAGAGGAUGAAGAGGACCACGACAAGUUAUCUGAAGAUGACUGAGAUGAUGGAGGUGUGAUUUAGAAGUGUGUGCUGUUGUUAUGCAGGCUGUUGCGUGUCAGCCAGUCAUCCCCAUCCACCACAUAGGCUUCUUCGCUUCCACUUUUGUUGCUUUUGCUGUUUUGCUGCUAGUCCAGUGGUUUGGCGUUCUGGCAAAAGCAUUGUUAAUGUUAUACAUAUAAUAUGUGAUGUUGAACAUGUAGCGAUGUUCUGAUACUGAUAUGUUCAGACGAUCAAUUAGAUUGAGAGAGACAAAUGUCAGUAACUGGAACUGUGAUCUUU
Molecule: long non-coding RNA, 483 nt
Organism: Hordeum vulgare subsp. vulgare (domesticated barley)
Lineage: Eukaryota; Viridiplantae; Streptophyta; Magnoliopsida; Poales; Poaceae
Exons: 3
Source: RefSeq, a predicted model, not a curated record